GACGAACGCUGGCGGCGUGCUUAACACAUGCGAGUCGAACGGAAAGGCCCCUUUGGGGGUACUCGAGUGGCGAACGGGCGGGUGACUCGUGCGUAACUAGCCUUCGCCUUCGGGUUAACUACCGGAAACUAGGUCUAAUAACGGCUAGGAAUCAUCGCCGCCUGGAGGGGGUUGGAAAGCUUCGGUGGGUUGGGGUGGACUCACGGCUUAUUGGUUUGUUGGUGGGGUAGUGGCUUACCCAGGCCUUCUUGGGCGGGCGGCCUGGGGGGGGGACCGGCCACCUUGGGACUGGGAUUCGGGCCAGACUCCUACGGGGGGCAGCAGGGGGGAAAUUUGCCCCAUGGGCGGGAACCCGAUGCAGCAACGCCGGGGGCGGGAUGACGGGCUUCGGGUUGUAAACCGCGUUCAGCAUGGGCCAAGCUUGUGGUGACGGUACCUGCAGAAGAAGCACCGGCUAACUACGUG
RNAcentral lists this ribosomal RNA (465 nucleotides) under uncultured bacterium. RNAcentral describes it as "partial 16S ribosomal RNA". It matches the Rfam family "Bacterial small subunit ribosomal RNA", at positions 28 to 507 of the family's 1533-position model. The record is from RNAcentral.